Molecule: ribosomal RNA, 271 nt
Filed under: uncultured bacterium
Lineage: Bacteria
Description: partial 16S ribosomal RNA
Rfam family: Bacterial small subunit ribosomal RNA
Source: RNAcentral
CACGUACUGUGCGAACGUUAUUCGGAAUCACUGGGUUUAAAGGGUCCGCAGGCGGACGUAUAAGUCAGUGGUGAAAGCCUACAGCUCAACUGUAGAACUGCCAUUGAUACUGUACGUCUUGAAUUCGGUCGAAGUGGGCGGAAUAUGACAUGUAGCGGUGAAAUGCUUAGAUAUGUCAUAGAACACCGAUAGCGAAGGCAGCUCACUAGGCCUGGAUUGACGCUCAUGGACGAAAGCGUGGGGAGCAAACAGGAUUAGAUACCCCUGUAGU